AGAAGCUUAGGAUAAUACAAACCAAGAACCUUCAAAGUUCUAAAUAGGGACUAACCCCCUAGCUUCUGCCC
This 71-nucleotide transfer RNA is filed under the name Callisaurus draconoides. RNAcentral's name for it is "tRNA-Trp". Lineage: Eukaryota; Metazoa; Chordata; Lepidosauria; Squamata; Phrynosomatidae. The record is from RNAcentral.